UGGGUUUGAUCGAGCUUCGACUACGCCGGAAAUUCGAAUCUUCGACGACACCGGAAGAAAAUCCUGGACAUCGAGAUUUCAACUGCAGAAUAUUCUCGAGUGAAGGAACAAAAACACCUGGCUUGAAGCCGCACAAUCUCCCUGCCUCGCAUAAACCUUGAUCCGACCAAGAUAACUUUCUUCCAAGACACGUUAACGGGAUAAAACCACACAAUCGCUGUUACUCGCAGAAACGUUGAUAGAGAAAAGUAAAGAGACCCGAUCGCUUCCAGUCCAGUAAAAAAAGGUGUUAGUCUCGAAACUCAACCAAAACUUCGGCUACUACCUGCGAGGAUCCACAAAGCGUCUUCUCUGCACCGAUCAAUCAUCUUUUUGAGGGAAGUAAUCAUGAGACAAGCCUAUUCACCUAACUUUUUGUCAUGUGGUCUCCGACAACCAUAGACUUAAACGACUGAUUGAAUUUACCUCCACCAGUGGAAAAUGUGUUUGUCUCGAAACUGAAGUAAAACUUCCGCUACUGCUAUAAAAUCCUCCUCCCGGCUUGCUUAAUCGCAUUCAUAAAAGAAAAUUUUGUUUCAGGAAAGUAAAGAGACCCGAUCGCCUCCAGUCCAGUAAAAAAAAAGGUGUUUGUCUCGAAACUCAACCAAAACUUCGGCUACUACCUUCCAGGAUCCACAAAGCGUCCUCUCUGCACCGAUCAAUCAUCUUUUCGAGGGAACUAAUCACGAGACAAGCCUAUUCACCUAACUUUUUGUCAUCUGGUCUUCAACAACCAUAGACUUAAACGACUGAUUGAAUUUACCUCCACCAGUGGAAAAUGUGUUUGUCUCGAAACUGAAGAAAGUAAAGAGACCCGAUCGCCUCCAGUCCAGUAAAAAAAAGGUGUUUGUCUCGAAACUCAACCAAAACUUCGGCUACUACCUGCCACGAUCCACGGAGUGUCUUCCCUGCUCCGGUCGAUCAUCCUCUCGCGGGAACUAAUCACGAGAUAAGAGAAGAAAGCCUAUUCACCUGACUUUUUGUCAUCUGGUCUGCGACAACCAUAGACUUAAAGGACCGAUUCCGAGGGCUUGCAGCGACUCGGACACUCGCUCGCACCCGCGAGAGCGCCGAUCUCUGACUGUUCUCCAAGAAAGAACAGCACUCUCUCUAUUUCCCUGGAGUAGCAGGAGAGGUAGAGUCAGCGGGAUCAGGCGGGAUCAGGAGGGAUCAGGCUGGACUCCUAUACGAACCCACCACGAGUGUGCCUCGGUGUACACGAAUGUACCGAUCCGGUUCUGGUCGCUCGGGAAACAGUAUAGGGAACGGUACGGCCCGGCUUUGAGCCUGCUAUACCGUGAUACGAGAGCAAAGACCGCAAGAGAGUAUUCGGUGAAGUAGACUCUGUCUUCGCGCCGAGUAGCAGGACUAGAAAGUACCGAUUACGCGAGUAAUCGUGCCGAUGACCCAACCAGGACUUCACCUUGAUCUCCUGGUUUCGGAUGAAGUUCACCGGGUGAACUUCACUCUCGAGGCUCUUAAAUCACCGUGAUGAACUUUCCUUUUAGUCUUUAUUGGACGUCAUGAGCCGUUAUGGACACGUUAUUAAAAAUGCACGGUAUAAUUAAGACAAUUCACUUUGAGUUUUACCGCGAUCCGGGACUAAAGGUUGUGGAAGAGUAACCGGUGGAGUAGACAUUGUCCCUGGACCAAGUACCAGGAAUAGAAAGUACCCAUUAUGCGAGCAAUCAUGCCUAGAACCAAAUCUGGGCUUCACCUUGAUCUCCUCUUCUCGACGAAGUUCAUCCGGUGAACUUCACUCCGUGUACAAAGACAGCUUGAAUUCCUUCAUUUAUAUCUUCUGAGUAUUUUGAUAGAUAUGCCGCAUUGUUAAAAAUGCUCAAUAUACUUGAGGAAAUUGGGUACUUUCAUUGUGCCGAACAUUGAUAUAUGAUCAUUUAAUUGAGAAAAGUAUACUUAUCGAAUCGAUGUGCCGAAUUUUGGCGUUAAGUAUUCGGUGCCGCUCGCGCGGGCUUUUAAAUGUAUUUGGCGCGAAACUCUAUCGAGUUUCCCAGUCGACCAAUGUCCAAUUUUAUCACGAUUCAAAGCAUGUAUAGAUGUUAACAUUUACUCGAAGUCGAGUAGAGCGGCUCCUGUAAGUGAAUUUGUGCGAGUUGAAUUUAUAAUUUCAUGACAAUACGAGGAUAAGUUAUAUCUCGUUAUUUAUAUAAAUAAUGUAUUCCAGGUUUUUAAGUGGAUGCCUUUUACGUGAACGUACUACUCGUUUGUAAGAAAAUCUCAUUUUGAGGUAAUUUAUGAUUCCGAUAAUUCUCUGCGAGUACAUUGGGCAAGUGAUUAUACCUAUCAGUGACCUUAGGUUUCACCUUGACGUUUUCGUUAUGGAUCUAUAAAACUGCAAAUAUAUUUUACAUUCAAAUUCCUUUUUGCAGGGAGAGAAAUAUGCUGAAUCGAGAUUCCCAGAUUUUCAACGGUGAAGUAAACCAAUUUUAUAACGGUUUAGCAAUCGACGGGGCGAAUCUGAAGACAUUGACCCCAGUCGAUAAAAACGGCAGGAAAAUAAAUCUGGAAGGAAAUCAUUCCAGAAGACUGAUCUCUCUAGCCUGUCGACAAAUUGAUCAAUUAUACCUAACAUUUAUCCGAUGUCUAACAAAUGAUAUUCUUAAUUAGAUUCUUCACAAGUCACGUCAGCAAAUUUAGCGUAAGGAAUUGCAAUUAAGAAAAACCAAACGGCAACAAAUAGCUUCGCCUUCUCCGUUUUCUUCGUAUUUCCCUCACUCGUAUCAUUUCAAGGAGGUCGAGUAAGAUAUAGAGGAAGAGAGUGGAAGGACGAGUACUUAUUAGGAAACGGAAAUUAAUUCGAAAUUGCGUUAACGCGAUAACGCGUCGGCAAUGAUUAUGGCUAGGGAGCUUUCACUCUAAAAUGCAUCCAGAAGUGUAGCACCAGCCGAUAGAGAGUCGCGAUUUGAUCCGCUUGGAUGGUGAGGUAACAAAACGAGAAAUCGCUUGAGUUCUUCGAGGAUGAAGCCUCGGAAGUGGACCCGCUUACACGGUUUUUAGAGGAUCUUCGUCUGCCUUAGAGACACUGAUUUUUAUCGGCGUUUCCAAAAU
Long non-coding RNA from Orussus abietinus, 3108 nucleotides. RefSeq lists it as uncharacterized. The transcript is spliced from 5 exons. NCBI's taxonomy places the organism in Eukaryota, Metazoa, Arthropoda, Insecta, Hymenoptera, Orussidae. The record is from RefSeq and is a predicted model, not a curated record.